RNAcentral lists this transfer RNA (77 nucleotides) under Ectopseudomonas mendocina. RNAcentral describes it as "tRNA-Val". It matches the Rfam family "tRNA". From Rfam's summary of the family: Transfer RNA (tRNA) molecules are approximately 80 nucleotides in length. Their secondary structure includes four short double-helical elements and three loops (D, anti-codon, and T loops). Further hydrogen bonds mediate the characteristic L-shaped molecular structure. tRNAs have two regions of fundamental functional importance: the anti-codon, which is responsible for specific mRNA codon recognition, and the 3' end, to which the tRNAs corresponding amino acid is attached (by aminoacyl-tRNA synthetases). tRNAs cope with the degeneracy of the genetic code in two manners: having more than one tRNA (with a specific anti-codon) for a particular amino acid; and 'wobble' base-pairing, i.e. permitting non-standard base-pairing at the 3rd anti-codon position. RNAcentral also lists the same sequence under 97 other names. The record is from RNAcentral. Lineage: Bacteria; Pseudomonadati; Pseudomonadota; Gammaproteobacteria; Pseudomonadales; Pseudomonadaceae.
AGGCACGUAGCUCAGUUGGUUAGAGCACCACCUUGACAUGGUGGGGGUCGUUGGUUCGAGUCCAAUCGUGCCUACCA